UUUUCUCUUGCAAUAUCAUUUUUUUUUUUAGUUUUAUAACAAUUUUCCAUUUUAUUAUUAUUGUCUAAUUUGUUUUCCAGGUCGAUAUGCGUGUGAGGAAAAAUUUGGAGAAAGUAGAAACGUUCUAUUUGGACAACUAAUUGAAGGCUUCCAUUAAUUAUACUAGUCGAUACCCAUCAUGUAAACCAUCCUAAAAGCCUUCAAUAGUUUGGCAGCGAGAAUCGAUUAUUGGGUUUGCCAAAUUGUUGGUGGGAAUCGGUCUUCUUGAGUCGUUUGUGUUGGUUUUGUUGUGAUUGAAAGCUUGAACGAUCCAACGUUUACAGAAAUUGAUUCCUAAAAUCUUAAAAGAGACAAACAAGGUAAGGGUCUUCAGGUUCUUCUCCUUUAUCUGAGACUCCCUGUUUGAGUGGUGAUGGUGGUGGAGGAGGAGGAGGAACUGCUGCUUUAUCUUCUCCUGCUAUAUUGGCCACCAAAACUCCCAGCACGCUACUCAGUGGUGAUUCCAAUUACAUACCUUGUGGAAAUUGAUGUUGUCGUCAAAGGGGACAAAGGACCUGGCUCUUGUGGACCGAAGCCAUGUCAGGGUAUUUCGACAAACAGGUAAGAGGAUGAGAGCCAUGUUGAGUUUGAGAGUCUCUGCAGCCCCUUUGGCUGUCGCCAAGCAAUAUCCCAUGACCUGAAAUGCAGCCCUAUUCCUGUAUUGGUUGAAUUUCCAGGCGAAGAGGCCUGCCAUGGUUAACAGCCACAACAACAAAAUCCAACCCCUCUGCCAAUUCUCUAUUAUGAGACACUGGAGUGUCUCGGUUGCUCUUCGCAUCACAUUCUUUGGCCUCAAGGAACCCAUGUUCUGACUCCAGCCUACACUUGCUGUGCUGAGUGGUCUGCUGUAAUUCAUGUAAGUGUCUCUUUGAAGAAGCAGUGUUUCCAACUGCCAUAACUGAGUAAAAAGAUCGAACAGCAAAAAGAGUCAAAUAAGCAUGUUUUAAUGCUUUAACUUAUCAAAAAAAAAAAAAAAAAAGCAUGUUUUAAUGCUUUAGGAAAAGGAUGAAUUUACCUCAAUGUAUCCGAGGUUUUCUGGAUCAAGCUCUUCCAUAAUCAAUGAAGCGUAUUCUUCGGCCUGUUCCUUCAACUUGGAUAGUUUGUUUGCAGAAGCACUGAGCAUUAUAAGCUGUAAUUACAUGACAUUAAGACAUUAAUUGAAGCUUAGUAAGUACUACACA
Carya illinoinensis is the source of this 1220-nucleotide long non-coding RNA. RefSeq lists it as uncharacterized. NCBI's taxonomy places the organism in Eukaryota, Viridiplantae, Streptophyta, Magnoliopsida, Fagales, Juglandaceae. The record is from RefSeq and is a predicted model, not a curated record. The transcript is spliced from 2 exons.